CUUUACUUGGCUACACUCACUA
Molecule: non-coding RNA, 22 nt
Filed under: Arabidopsis thaliana (thale cress)
Lineage: Eukaryota; Viridiplantae; Streptophyta; Magnoliopsida; Brassicales; Brassicaceae
Source: RNAcentral